This 433-nucleotide ribosomal RNA is filed under the name uncultured bacterium. Its description in RNAcentral is "partial 16S ribosomal RNA". It matches the Rfam family "Bacterial small subunit ribosomal RNA", at positions 29 to 507 of the family's 1533-position model. The record is from RNAcentral.
AACGAACGCUGGCGGCAUGCCUAACACAUGCAAGUCGAACGAAACCUUCGGGUCUUGUGUCGCCCGGGUGCGUAACGCGUGGGAACCUGCCCUUAGGUUCGGCAUAACUCCCCGACUGGGGUGCUAAUACCGGAUAAUGUCUUCGGACCAAAGAUUUAUCGCCUUUGGAUGGGCCCGCGUUGGAUUAGCUAGUUGUUAGGGUAAUAGCAUACCAAGGCGACGAUCGAUAGAUGGUUUGAGAGACAGAUCAGCGACACUGACAGUAGGACCCGGCCGGGAAUCCUACGCGAUGGAGGAGAGAGGAAUGGAGAACAAUGGGGGAAAGCAUGAACCAGCAAGGACGCGAAAGUGAUGAAAGCAGUAAAGAAGUAAAGCGCUAUUAACCGUGAAGAUAAUGACAGUACCGGAAGAAUAAGCUACGGCUAACUCCGUG